Molecule: unclassified non-coding RNA, 1028 nt
Filed under: Hevea brasiliensis (rubber tree)
Lineage: Eukaryota; Viridiplantae; Streptophyta; Magnoliopsida; Malpighiales; Euphorbiaceae
Source: RNAcentral
CAUGCAAUUAAACUUCAAGAAAAAUCCCAAUAUGCAAUCUGUUAAUCUUCAAGAAAAAUCAAAUAAAAUCAAAAUUUUGAAAAACCUAAAUCAAUUCAACUAAGAAAAAUCAAAUUCAAAGACAAAUUAGAAAAAAACCACAACCCAACUGAAAUUAAAUUCAGAUGAAGAAUUGUAUUAAACACAUGCUAAUUGUCCAAAAAACAAAUGGCAAAGGGGACGAGGAGGUGAGGUUGGGGGCGAGGAGGUGAGGUUGCAGAAGAAGUCGAGCGCAGGGGCUGACUGUGACACUGCAUGCCAGGUUACGAGGGGUAUAAUCAACAAUGAUGAUGAGAUUCGCAAGUAGAGGAAAUAGUGAGACUUAAAAGGAAAAUGGGUCUGUGGAGAGAGAGAGAAAGAGGGAAACCAAAAAUGAAAAGAAAAAUAAAAUCCAUUCCUCAAGAUCUUGUUGUGGGUGAUGAUCACAAUCUCUACUUGAGGUUUCUGUGAUUGUGAGAGUAAAGACAAAUGGUUACAUUGUGAUAGUGAGAGAGGAGAAUGUGAGUGUGACUAGUGAGACAAAGAAGUGUCUUUUGUUGAGAUCUAGUUGAGGGCUUUGUAUACAAGCAAAAUAACGUAGUAUUAUGUAGGUUUGGUUAGUUUGAUAUUUUGAUUGAACUAACUGAACUAAAAUUUUGAAAUUUUCUUAAAAUGAUAAUCAAAAUUGGACUAAUUAGAUAGAAAAAUCAAAUUGAGUUGAUUCAGUUUGAUUCUAUUUUUUAGUUAUAACUGCAUUUGGCUCAAUCCUAAUUCUUAGAGAUAUGUUUUAGUUGCUUGAUGAGUAGAAAUGCACAGUUUAGUAAUGAAAAUUAGCAACUAAUCUAAUCCAUUGCUAAUUAGCAAUGAUUUGGGAAUGAAAUAGAAGCCAGAUAUGAUCAGUAAAAUUGGUAAGAGAUUAGUAAUGAAAAAGUUUCCAUUGCUAUAUUGCACCACAAAAAAUGGUGCAAAUUUAUGAAACGGAUUAGAAGUGUAUUAAUGACUGAAAUUAG